RNAcentral lists this ribosomal RNA (668 nucleotides) under uncultured Caulobacteraceae bacterium. RNAcentral's name for it is "bacterial SSU rRNA". It matches the Rfam family "Bacterial small subunit ribosomal RNA", at positions 95 to 798 of the family's 1533-position model. Lineage: Bacteria; Pseudomonadati; Pseudomonadota; Alphaproteobacteria; Caulobacterales; Caulobacteraceae. The record is from RNAcentral.
GUGGCGGACGGGUGAGUAACACGUGGGAACGUGCCCUUUGGUACGGAAUAACUCAGGGAAACUUGAGCUAAUACCGUAUGUGCCCUUCGGGGGAAAGAUUUAUCGGCAUUGGAGCGGCCCGCGUCUGAUUAGCUAGUUGGUGAGGUAAUGGCUCACCAAGGCUACGAUCAGUAGCUGGUCUGAGAGGAUGACCAGCCACAUUGGGACUGAGACACGGCCCAAACUCCUACGGGAGGCAGCAGUGGGGAAUCUUGCGCAAUGGGCGAAAGCCUGACGCAGCCAUGCCGCGUGGAUGAUGAAGGUCUUAGGAUUGUAAAAUCCUUUCACCGGGGACGAUAAUGACGGUACCCGGAGAAGAAGCCCCGGCUAACUUCGUGCCAGCAGCCGCGGUAAUACGAAGGGGGCUAGCGUUGCUCGGAAUUACUGGGCGUAAAGGGCGCGUAGGCGGACAUUUAAGUCGGGGGUGAAAUCCCAGGGCUCAACCCUGGAACUGCCUUCGAUACUGGAUGUCUUGAGUGCGGGAGAGGUGUGUGGAACUCCGAGUGUAGAGGUGAAAUUCGUAGAUAUUCGGAAGAACACCAGUGGCGAAGGCGACACACUGGCCCGUUACUGACGCUGAGGCGCGAAAGCGUGGGGAGCAAACAGGAUUAGAUACCCUGGUAGUCCAC